Molecule: ribosomal RNA, 500 nt
Filed under: uncultured bacterium
Lineage: Bacteria
Description: partial 16S ribosomal RNA
Rfam family: Bacterial small subunit ribosomal RNA
Source: RNAcentral
AUUGAACACUGGCGGAAUGCUUUACACAUGCAAGUCGAACGGCAGCACGGACUUCGGUCUGGUGGCGAGUGGCGAACGGGUGAGUAAUGUAUCGGAACGUGCCCAGUCGUGGAGGAUAACGUAGUGAAAAUUACGCUAAUACCGCAUACGAUCUAUGGAUGAAAGCGGGGGAUCGCAAGACCUCGCGCGAUUGGAGCGGCCGAUAUCAGAUUAGGUAGUUGGUGGGGUAAAGGCCCACUAAGCCAACGAUCUGUAGCUGGUCUGAGAGGACGACCAGCCACACUGGAACUGAGACACGGUCCAGACUCCUACGGGAGGCAGCAGUGGGGAAUUUUGGACAAUGGGCGAAAGCCUGAUCCAGCCAUUCCGCGUGCAGGAUGAAGGCCCUCGGGUUGUAAACUGCUUUUGUACAGAACGAAAAGGUUUCUACUAAUACUAGGAGCUCAUGACGGUACUGUAAGAAUAAGCACCGGCUAACUACAUGCCAGCCGCCGCGGUAA